RNAcentral lists this ribosomal RNA (333 nucleotides) under uncultured fungus. Its description in RNAcentral is "eukaryotic LSU rRNA". The stretch from base 1 to 71 matches the Rfam family "5.8S ribosomal RNA", at positions 84 to 154 of the family's 154-position model. The record is from RNAcentral. Lineage: Eukaryota; Fungi.
GUGAGUCAUCGAGUCUUUGAACGUAUCUUGCGCUACUUGGUAUUCCAUGGAGCAUGCCUGUUUGAGUGUCACGUAAACCCUCACCCUUGCGAUGUUAAACCGUUGCAUGUGGUGGACUUGGACUGUGCCGUAGUUGGCUCGCCCUCAAAUGCAUUAGCUUGCGCUAGUUAGAGUGCUCGGAUUGGUGUGAUAAUUAUCUGCGCCGUGUCCUCAGGCCUCUUCUUUUGGUGCUGUCUUCCAACCGUCCUUUGUGGACAUGACACUAUUUUAAGCUUUGGCCUCAAAUCAUGGUAGGUACUACCCGCUGAACUUAAGCAUAUCAAUAAGGCGAGG